AAUGUAGGUAGGAAAAAGGAAGUCCCGAGUGAACAGGACUUCCCAUGUAGAGCCGUUAAAGACGGUGGCAGAUUUUAACGACAUUUAAU
This 89-nucleotide small RNA is filed under the name Enterococcus devriesei. RNAcentral's name for it is "RNA anti-toxin A". It matches the Rfam family "RNA anti-toxin A". Lineage: Bacteria; Bacillati; Bacillota; Bacilli; Lactobacillales; Enterococcaceae. The record is from RNAcentral.